This 475-nucleotide ribosomal RNA is filed under the name uncultured bacterium. RNAcentral's name for it is "bacterial SSU rRNA". It matches the Rfam family "Bacterial small subunit ribosomal RNA", at positions 34 to 507 of the family's 1533-position model. The record is from RNAcentral.
CGCUGGCGGCGUGCCUAACACAUGCAAGUCGAACGGAACUGCUUCGAAGGAUUUCUUCGGAAUGACAUUGAUUCAGUUUAGUGGCGGACGGGUGAGUAACGCGUGAGUAACCUGCCUUCAAGAGGGGGAUAACAUUCUGAAAAGAAUGCUAAUACCGCAUGACAUAUGAUUGUCGCAUGGCAGACAUAUCAAAGAUUUAUCGCUUGAAGAUGGACUCGCGUCCGAUUAGUUAGUUGGUGAGGUAACGGCCCACCAAGACCGCGAUCGGUAGCCGGACUGAGAGGUUGAACGGCCACAUUGGGACUGAGACACGGCCCAGACUCCUACGGGAGGCAGCAGUGGGGGAUAUUGCGCAAUGGGGGCAACCCUGACGCAGCAACGCCGCGUGAAGGAUGAAGGUUUUCGGAUUGUAAACUUCUUUUAUUAAGGACGAAUAAUGACGGUACUUAAUGAAUAAGCUCCGGCUAACUACGUG